UAGUAGGCGGCGGAAGAUAACCCAAAAGGGAUUCCUUCAGUAAUGGCGAAUGAACGGGGAAAAGCUCAGCAAAGAAAUCAGGGACCCCGUCCUUGAGUUGUGGACUUGAGAGGUAUUGCCAAUGGUGGCGCAGGUGCGGGCCUCUUGGAAAAGGGCACCACAGAGGGUGUGAGUCCUGUUUGUCAUCUGUAGUCCGCCAUGUACGGCGUGCCUCCUCAGAGUCACGUUCCUUGGAAUUGGAGCGCGAAGGUGGUGGUGGCUUUCAUCUCAAGCUAAAUAUGGGUUCGAGACCGAUAGCAAACAAGUACCAUGAGGGAAAAUUGAAAAGAGCUUUGGAAAGAGAGUUAAAAGUGCCCGAACUUGCUGAUAGGGAAGCGAAGGGAGCUGACGUUGCUUGGUGACAUUUUCCGCGCAAGUGUAGGAUGGGUUCUGAUUGCGAUGUGCGUAGUGCUUCUUGCCGUGCGUGUCGAUGCCAAGCAACAAGUGGGGAGAGCACCAGGGAUAUGAUUGUUCUGUCCCCGGGUGGACGAAGGUGCCUGGUCGCAUCCAUUUGUGGGCUGAAACAAGUGGUGGCUGGUUGCAGCGCUCCAUAACUGCCAGGCAGUUGGGGUGUAGCCCUGAUACGCAGACGAGGACAAAGUGCUUCUGUUCGACCCGUCUUGAAACACGGACCAAGGAGUCUGACACUCAUGCAAGCUCGCGGGUGGGUAAACUUGUUCGCGUAAUUAAGGUGUCUGUUGUGAUUUUUGCACCAACGCCCGACCAAUCAAUUGAGAGAGGUUUGAGUGUGAGCAUUUCUGUCAGGACCCGAAAGAUGGUGAACUAUGCUUGAGAAGGGUAAGUUCAGGGGAAACUCUGAUUGAGGCUCGUAGCGAUACUGACGUGCAAAUCGUUCGUCAUACUUGGGUAUAGGGGCGAAAGACUAAUCGAACCAUCUAGUAGC
RNAcentral lists this ribosomal RNA (943 nucleotides) under Prorocentrum lima. RNAcentral's name for it is "eukaryotic LSU rRNA". It matches the Rfam family "Eukaryotic large subunit ribosomal RNA", at positions 44 to 951 of the family's 3401-position model. The record is from RNAcentral. Lineage: Eukaryota; Dinophyceae; Prorocentrales; Prorocentraceae.